UACGUAGGGUGCAAGCGUUAAUCGGAAUUAUUGGGCGUAAAGCGUGCGUAGGCGGCUAUGCAAGACAGAUGUGAAAUCCCCGGGCUCAACCUGGGAACUGCAUUUGUGACUGCAUGGCUAGAGUACGGUAGAGGGGGAUGGAAUUCCGCGUGUAGCAGUGAAAUGCGUAGAUAUGCGGAGGAACACCGAUGGCGAAGGCAAUCCCCUGGACCGGUACUGACGCUCAUGCACGAAAGCGUGGGGAGCAAACAGG
RNAcentral lists this ribosomal RNA (253 nucleotides) under uncultured bacterium. RNAcentral's name for it is "partial 16S ribosomal RNA". It matches the Rfam family "Bacterial small subunit ribosomal RNA", at positions 524 to 776 of the family's 1533-position model. The record is from RNAcentral.